RNAcentral lists this ribosomal RNA (497 nucleotides) under uncultured bacterium. Its description in RNAcentral is "partial 16S ribosomal RNA". It matches the Rfam family "Bacterial small subunit ribosomal RNA", at positions 28 to 507 of the family's 1533-position model. The record is from RNAcentral.
GAUGAACGCUGGCGGCGUGCCUAAUACAUGCAAGUCGAGCGAACAGACGAUGAGCUUGCUCCUCUGACGUUAGCGGCGGACGGGUGAGUAACACGUGGAUAACCUACCUAUAAUACUGGGAUAACUUCGGGAAACCGGAGCUAAUACCGUAUAAUAUAUUGAUCCGCAUGGUUCAAUAGUGAAAGACGGUUUUGCUGUCACUUAUAGAUGGAUCCGCGCCGCAUUAGCUAGUUGGUGAGGUAACGGAGUAUCAAGGCAACGAUGCGUAGCCGAACUGAGAGGGUGAUCGGCCACACUGGAACUGAGACACGGUACAGUCGCCUUCGGGAGGCAGCAGUAGGGAAUCUGCAGCAAUGGGCGAAAGCCUGACGGAGCAGCGCCGCGUGAGUGAUGAGGGUCGUCGGAUCCUAAAACUCUGUUAUUAGGGAAGAACAAGUGUGUAAGUAACUAUGCACGUCUUGACGGUAACUAAUCAGAGAGCCACGGCUAACUACGUG